This is a non-coding RNA of Triticum aestivum (bread wheat), 126 nucleotides long. Lineage: Eukaryota; Viridiplantae; Streptophyta; Magnoliopsida; Poales; Poaceae. The record is from Rfam.
AUUAUACACCCUCCGUCCCGAAAUAUUUGUCGGAAGAAUGUAGAAAAAUGAAUGUAUCUAGAACUAAAAAUAUAUCUAGAUACAUUCAUUCCUCCGACGAGUAUAUUCAGACGAAGGAAGUAUAAA